UUUAUAUUUUGGUCUUAUAUAUUCCGAUGAAAGCGGGAAUCCUCCUCCGUAGUCCCAAUCCACGGAACCCCAAACUGCCACUACAAUCGUCGUGCUAAGCCCUCUUUCCCGUGCUUCUUCUUUAGGGAUUCCUCUUCCUCCUCUUCUUCUUCAAAUUCACAGGAUUACAAGAGGUCAAAGCCUAGGAGGGACUGGAUUGCAGAUUUGGUCUCCAACAACGACGACUCUGUCCGGAGCUUAUCGAUUUAUAUUGGAGGGGCGUAGCUCUUGGCUGUUCUCCUUAACCGCACUAUUUCGGGCAUUCCGGUUGCUGAUGCGAGCAGCUUAAUAUUCCUUUCAACAGUAGCAGAUAAAGCUCUUGCAGCGAUUGGGAGGGCAGGUUCUAUCAGAACUUUGAAUUUGCAAGGAUGUUCUUUAAUUACCGAUGGUGGAUUGGCUUCUUUGGCAACAAUGUUUUUGUUAAGGUCUUUGAAAAGUUGGUUCUGGCAUAGUGCGGCCAAAAGUCUGGAGCUAAAUCACAGCCACUCCUUCACCUUACACCUCCAUUGACAAAUCCCUUUACCAUCUCAUUUGUAUGAUGGUGGCCUCGAUUCUCUUAUUGUUCUUGUCAUUUUGAUCUUGUUCCACUGCAUGAAAAGAUGGUAUGUAAAAAGAAUGGUGUCUUGGGUAUUUUUCUGCCGUCACUUUUUGGCAAGCUUGUCGCCUCUUGGUGCUUUCCAACUUUCAACACUGCUUGUUCUGAAAUCAAACUUCAGAAUUAAGAUCGCAUGGUACAAAUCAUCCGAUCUAUGAAAGACCCGAUCCCAACGCUAUGGUUUUUUUCCAGCAUCCUUUUCCGGCAAGCCUGUUGCUGCUCGGUGCUCUCCAAUCUUCAAUGUUGCUUGUUCUGGAAAAAAAAAUUCAGAAUUAAGUUCGCAUGGUACAUAUCAUUUGAACUGUGAAAGUCUGGUCCCAUACGCCGUCACAUCCAUGCAUCUGGAGUAUCGUUAUUAGCUAUCUUCUCAUUUUUUAUUGGGUUUCGGCCUUCUAAUUUUGGUCCUAUAGUUGACCAUGGCUAUAUACAACCCAUUGUUGGCUACAACUCUAGAUUUGAUGCUCCAGUUGCGAGUCACUUCGUCCCCAUCACCAAUUUUACCAUCUCAUCCGCUAUCAAUCAAUAGAUAUGAAGGCAACACUCAAAUUUGCUCCAGUUGCGAGACACUUCUUCCCCAACACCAUUUUGACCAUCUCAUCUGCUAUCAAUCAAUGGAUAUGAAGGCUACACUCAAAUUUCAAACUUUGAUUUCAAAGUUUUUCAUCCUAAGUUUGAGGGAGGAUGUUAAAAUAUUACCCUACUUAGAAUAUUUUCAUAAUAUUCUAGUAUUUAUGUUCACAGUCAAGAGCUGAUCUUUUGACACUUGGAUUGGCUGUCACCAAUAUCCUAACCCAUCUCGUAUGGCUGUCAAUCCAACCAAAGCCGAUAUUUGUGGUGAGGGUUUCCCAUAUGCUUUUCAAUCCUAGUUUCUCUCUCAUUUUAGUUGGUUGCUCAGGUAAGUCCUGAAGGAGUUAAAUGCCAGAGAAUAUGCCCUCAUCUCCCUGAUUCUGUAGUUUCUUAAUUAAUGUGAGAGCUACCUGGCCAACCUAUCUCUUUAUCCUCUGGGAAGUCUAAGCUGCCAUUUCUGCCUUCAAAUACACAGCCACUUGGAAAGAAAGGAAUUGCAAUUGUUGGUGGUGACACAAUUAGGGGUUUUACUACUUCUGGUCAGGUGCUUCUCUCUAAGAUUGCUAAUUUUAAACUCUGGUAAUUCAUCAUUGAUUGAGGAAAGGUAAACUGUGUAGCUGCUUUCUUCCUUUUAUUUUUCAUUCCCUUCUCUCGAAUUGUUAAUUCUAGCUAUCAGAGGAUGCUUGGCAUGAUAGAUGUUGGGUAUUAUAGAUGUUGGGUAUUAGUGUCGUUCAACUGGGUACAGUUUUUAAUUCUCUUAAACAUCUCUUUGAUAUCAAAAUUUUAAACUCUGGUAUAUCGUUCUAUGUACCACAGAUUUGUAGUCUGAAAGUUAGCAAUGUAUAUAUUUGACCGUCCUUUCCCCUUGCUCCAUGUCUGGAGGUGCCUAUAACAGAAUAGCUUUGCGUGGAACAUCAGCUGCAAAACAGAGAUUCAGCUCAACGUCAAAUCCCUAAGCUUGAACAUAGGUUUAAAAUUAUUUUUCUAUUGUGGCUUAUUGCAUGGCUAACUUUACCCCAAAUGUGAUAGAUAUAAAUGGUUUCCUCCUGAAAGGGAAAGGAAAAUUAAGACUCAUAUGCACAUUAAGUUAAUUGUCCCUCCAUUUUGAGGGUUUGUAAUCACCAGCUCUAAUUUUGCUCCACCUAUCUUGUAGUUAGAACAUAAAAUUGUUUGGGCUACUCUUCUUAUCCUCA
This is a long non-coding RNA of Juglans microcarpa x Juglans regia, 2394 nucleotides long. RefSeq lists it as uncharacterized. NCBI's taxonomy places the organism in Eukaryota, Viridiplantae, Streptophyta, Magnoliopsida, Fagales, Juglandaceae. The transcript has 7 exons. The record is from RefSeq and is a predicted model, not a curated record.